This 69-nucleotide transfer RNA is filed under the name Attagis gayi (rufous-bellied seedsnipe). RNAcentral describes it as "tRNA-Val". Lineage: Eukaryota; Metazoa; Chordata; Aves; Ciconiiformes; Thinocoridae. The record is from RNAcentral.
CAAGACGUAGCUAAAUCAAAGCACUCAGCUUACACCUGAAAGAUACCUACUGCUCGUGGGUCGUCUUGA